GAUUUAUAAAAGUAAUUGGCGACUAAAAAUUUAGUCGCUAAUGGUGUAAUAUAUAUAUAAUAUAUUUGGUUUCGAUCUGCCAACACAACAGACAGAGGAAACAUUUUCCACUAUUAGAGAGAGAGAGAGAGAGUGAGUGAGAGAGAUGGGGUUGGGGUUGCUAGCUUCCAGAGCCCUGCGUUUCAAAUCUCCAAACCCUAGAUAUGCCAUCGUUCGAACCAUCGUCUCCACAGCUGAGCUCCAGAAGCCAGAAGCUGCUGCUGAAGCCCAGCCUCCGCUAGAUGAUGUCCAAAAUCGAACCCCAGUGGGAGGAGCUAGGGUCCACUUCUCCAAUCUCGGAAGACGCGAUCGAGGUGUUCGUGGAUGGCUAUAAAAAACUCAAAGGGGAUGACCGUUCUACAGGCCUGCGAGGUCGCCGGCGUCGAAAUUCCCAGAUUCUGCUACCACAGCCGCCUCUCCAUUGCCGAAAACUGCCGUACGUGCCUUGUCCAGGUCGAGAAGUCGCCUAAGCCCGUCGCUUCUUGCACCAUGCCCGCUCUUCGAGGUUUUCAUUUAUUUUUUUACGGAUUAGUAAUGCCAUUUGCUUAAUUCAUCUGGGUUUAGUAUUUUGUUGGGUUCAUUAUCUAUGGUCUAUUAUUAUUUUUUUUCUGGGUUCACUUGAUUAGUUCAAAAUUUGGUUUUUGGGUUCUAUAUAUUUAUAUUUUUAAUUUAUUACUAUUUUCAUGGUUAUAUUUUGUUAGGUAGGUGUAUUUACACUGUUAUGUCCUAUCCUGUUAUAUAUUAGAUCAUGAUGGGCUCUAGGAUUAUAGGUUUGUUUGCCUAAAAAGUGUUCGACAAAAAGACACUGUUGGUUUAUCUUAUUUGAUGGGUUGUUACUCUCGAUCUUUUUCAAAUUUCAGAUUUUGUUUAUUCUUUUUCGGUUAAUUUGUUGAUUUUGCGAGAGGGUUAUGAUUAAAUCAGUCUGGGAAUGAUUGUGGGAUUAAUUAGAUGAUGUUCUUUAUGGGAUUGUGCUGAAUUGUUGAUAUCUCAUGAAUCUAUGUCCUCUUAAAUGAGACUGUUGAUCUUCUUUGAUUUUUUUUAAUAAAUUAUUGUGCUCUUAUUAUUUUUGUUGCUCCUCGAAACUCAGCCAUAUGAUCAAUCACAAAUUUGAUGAGUUGAUUGAGGAAAGAUCCUUGUUUGUUGAGGGAGGUAGACAUUGAUAAAUGAGUUUUCUUUUGACAGAUUUCAUCUAUGCGUUUAUCAUAUAACUUCCCUUAUAUUAAUUUUUACGCCAUUGCAUUUGAGGCCUUAAAGUUUUGAGGGAUUUAUAAAAGUAAUUGGUGACUAAAAAAUUUAGAUCAUAAACUCUGAAUUUGGAUAAUUGGUUUAGGUGAUUGUUUGUUUGAUAUGUGGAUUGUUAAAUUUUUUGCCCACCAAGUGUUUGAUUCUAUGCUCAAGUGACAAAUUUAUCAGAAACAAUUGGAACAUGGAGUGUUUGAAUCUGUUUCAAUCUGUUUUCACAAUUGAGCAUGGUCACCAAUAUAUGUACACCAUUGUAACUCUGUUACAGAGUAUUGUGAUUUUAUUGAGAGAUAGACAUUAAUGAAGAUCAUUAGAGAGAUGGACAUUAAUAGCAAAUCAAACCACUGCAUAAUUAGCCAAGCCCCAUGGAGUCAUAAAAGAAGACAAAUUUCUGUAAGGUUCCUUCAAUACAAAAGUGGCCAAAUAGUGAUCAUUUUUUACAACUUCCGUUUCAUUCAUUCUAAUAAGGAUGGGGUUCAUUGCUGAUGAGAGGUUUGAGGAAUCGUAUGCUUAUGAUUCCUUAAUGCCAUUUUUCUUCAAAGAACAGCAAAGAUCAUUCUUUUAUUAACAAUUUGAUUGUGUGGCAUUUGAAUAGUGGACUUUCAUUUUUAAUGCUCUAAUUAUGAUUGGAAAGGUCUACUUAGAGAAAUUUUUUAUUGCAGUGUUUGGUUUAUUUUAAGAUAAUUAAUGUGUUCAAGUGAUGCACACAAUGAGAUUAAGUCUCUUUGGAGGUGAUGCACACAAAUUGGAGGUUCAGUCUCUUAAUUUCUUUCUUAAAUUAUACAUCUUGCUAGAAUAUCAUUUCUUGUAGCAAUGAAGUUGCAUAAAUUGCUGGUUUCUUGAAACAUGUCAAUAUUUUUGUCUCUUAAUUCGUAGUAUCACUCUUUAAUCUUUAUUCAAUCUGGCUGAGCAUGUAACCAAAUGUUGACUCUUAACUGCAACCCUUGUUUGGGGACAUGAACUACAUUACAAUUUUUUGAGUUCUAGAAAAUAUGUACUUAGCAUAUGUUUUAUAAUCUGAUGCAUGUUCAUUUGAGGCCCUUGCAUCUGCUAACUUUCUACUGUUCUGUUUUCUUGUUUUUGACUUUUCCCUUUUUCCAGGAUGCAGCUAGGUACCGUGAUGAACUAAAGGAUAUUGCCCCACACUCUCUCUUGAAAUGUUCAAGUGAUGUAACAACGUUCGUAUGGGACCUUGUUACUGGAAGAUUUUUACAAACUUGAGCUUUUCCACUACCAAUUACUGCAAUAGUUGUUGAUCCAACAGAGAUGAAGUUAUUUUUUGGUGGUAUAGAUUGCUAGUGGAUAUUUCUUUUUUGUAUACGAAGGACAUCAUUUUUGUAUGAUUAUCUGUUUGUAUGGAAUUAUUUUUGGGGUUGGAUUAUAUUUGGUUUGUAUAGAAUUUGAUGUUACAAGACCAAAUUUUUGGAUGGUUAAAAGUGAAAUAGAAA
Non-coding RNA from Camellia sinensis, 2729 nucleotides. NCBI's taxonomy places the organism in Eukaryota, Viridiplantae, Streptophyta, Magnoliopsida, Ericales, Theaceae. The record is from RefSeq and is a predicted model, not a curated record.